GGCAAUUUGAGUUAUGCUUGGAAAAGAAAGUUCUGGCCACAGUAUAGAGCAUGGCCCGUUGAGCUGUUGGGGGGUUAUUGCUGCAACCAAGGCUUGAGUGAGGGAAGAGGCAGAUGUAGUGAUAAAGAGACUCCACGAACUGAAUCAGCGUACCUGGCGCCCCAUCUGCUAUAGAGGGUGAGAACAAAAGAGAAAUUAAAACAUCUUGCAGGCUGGGCACGGUAGCUCGUGUCUGUAAUCCCAGCACUUUGGGAGGCCAAGGUGGGUGUAUCAGUUGAGGUCAGGAGUUGGAGACCAGUCAGUCAGUUAGUAGAAACCCUGACUCUACCAAGAAAAUACAAAAAAUUAGCCGGGCAUGGUGGCACGCGCCUGUAGUCUCAGCUACCUGGAAGGCUGAGGCAGGUGGAUCACUUGAGCCGGGGAAGUGGAGGCUGCAGUAAGCCAAGAUUGUACCACUGCACUCCAGCCUGGGUGACAGAGCAAGACUCCAUCUCAAAAUAAAAUAAAGUAAAACAAAACAUCUUACCACUAGCUGAGAGAGAGGUCUCCAAAGAGCAGGCUCAGGCAAACGAGUUUUCAGAGCUGAUGUGAUAGCUUCUCUGGAGUCGACAGGGUGAAUCCUUCCCAAGUCCAGCCAUGCCCAGAUGCCUGGAGGGAAAACUGACCCCCAGCCAGUAGACAUCGGUUAAGAACACGGAAUCUUCUGACCAAACACGCUUUCAGCAGCUGCCUGCUCUGGACUUUGAAAGAGCCUUUUCAUUCAUGCCAUUAGGAAAUCCAUGGACUUCUAGUCUGUGUUUUAAGCCAGCCAUGUUUCCUUGUAUAUUUCCCUACCCGCUGCCCCAGAUACCCAGCAUACUGCUAUGGCCACCGUGUCCUCAAAGCCUUCUGUCUGUAUCAGGAAGGUAGUCUGAGACUGCCAGGAAGCAACAAGGAGAGAGAAACACUAACUAGUCUUCCUUUAUAACCCAUUCAUACUCUCUGGCUGUCCCCAAACUUCAUAAAGUCUCCUGCAUCCAAAUGUCCUCUUUGGCUCAAAAAGUAGGCCAGGCAUGGUGGUUCAUGCCUGUAAUAGCACUUUGGGAGACUGAGGUGGGAGGAUUACUUGAGGCCAGGAGUUUGAGACCGGCUUGGGCAAUGUAGUAAAAUCUCAUCUCUACAAAAAAAUAAAAUAAAAUUAGUUGGGCAUGGUGGCAUGCUUCUGUGGUCCCAGCUACUUGGGAGGCUGAGGCAGGAGGAUCACUGGAUCCCAGGAGUUCAAGGCGACAGUGAGCUAGGAUGGCAUCACUGCACUCCAGCCUGGGUGACAGAGCGAGACCAUGUCUCUAAAAAAAAAUCAAACUGAAAGACCAGGUGCUGAGAUUGAAGAAACACAGGUCUGAGGGUCUGAGGGAAGGGGCCUGCCUCCCAGGGAGUCAACACAGAUGUUCCCCAUGAACAGGGAUUUCACCUUUGGAAGCCAACCUGGCCUGGCCUCUGCCCUUUAUCUCACACCCCCUAUCCUUGGCCCACUGCCAGUCCCUGCCUUGUGGCAAAAGAACCCCAAAAGAAAAGCUGCCUUCUCCAAAUGUGAGGACCCAGGUACACUUUCACCCAUGGAAAGCAGUGUCUGUUGCGAGUCUGUUUCCUAUUAAUACUUAUCAAAGCCACGUGCGAGGGAGGUGGUCAGGUGUCAAUAUGCCUUAGUAUGUAUCUAUGAGUUUGUUUUGUUCUGGAAUAUCUGAACAGUUCUGAUCAAGCAGGGUUAUGCCUGUCUGGUCCAAAACACAGUCCGUUAUUAACGAGAUGGCCCUGGUAGGCAGGAACACAUCUGCCUCCAUGCACUGCUUCCUAUAGUCUUUUAGAAAAUGACUCCAGGACAUCCAAGUGCCCAGAUUUGACUCUUAAGUUCUAGGAGGCUCUUGCAUGGGGUCUGUCAACCUCGGCACUAUUGGCAUUUGGGGCUGGAUAAUUCUUUAUUGUGGGGGCCGUCUUGGGCACCGUAGGAAGCCGAGCAACAUUCCUGGCCUCCAUCCACUAGACACCUGUAGCAGUGUCCUGCCAAUGGUAACAAUCAAAUAUGUCAUCAGACAUUGCCCAACGUCCCCGGGGACAACACCCCUCUCUGGGACUUCAGGGUCAAGAGAAUCUCUGCUGGCUACCCCAGGACUUCUCAGUAUAGAUUUCCUGGAGCAAGCAGCAGAAGCUUUGCCUGGCCCAGUGGUUGUUGCCAUUAUCUCCUGCCAAAGUGGGAUUUGAGGAGAUCUGGGGGAGGGGGCACGGGGAGGGCAGUAUGCUUUCAAAAACCCCUCCCAGGCCGGGUGUGGUGGCUCAUGCCUGUCAUCCCAGCACUUUGGGAGGCCGAGGCUGGCAGAUCACUUGAGGCCGGGAGUUAGAGACCAACCUGGCUAACAUGGCAAAACCCCAUCUCUACUAAAAAUACAAAAAUCAGCCUGGCAUGGUGGCGGGCAUCUGUAAUCCCAGCUACUCGGGAGGCUGAGGCAGGAGAAUUACUUGAACCCGGGAGGCGGAGGCUGCAGUGAGCCAAGAUGGUGCCACCUCACUCCAGCUUGCUGACAGAAUGAGACCCUAUGGAAAAAAAAAAUAAAUAAGCCCUCUUAUGCCAGGACAGAGGAUGACAGCCCAUUUCAAUAAUACACUAUGUCCUUGGUGUUGGUUCUGAUUAAGACCCACUGAGAUCCAGUGCUCUCGACUCGGUCUCAGUUCCCUCCCACGUCCUGUGCUCUGCCGCCACUGUUUUCAUUGUUGUGUUCUCAUUGUGAUUGUUAAGACUCACACUCCUGGCUCAGCAGUGGUUUUCCAGAAGGCCCAAAGAGUGGUGCCGGGCACCCCACAUCACAGUGUCCUUUCCGGGCUUGGGAAACUGGGGAGAUGGGCAGACCUGGUCACAUCUCAACACACACAAACACACACACACACACACGCUGUCAGAAACUCGGCCUUCCCCCCUACCUCUGAGCUCUCGAUGCUGCUAAUCUCUGCCAAGUGUCCCUGUGCUCCAGCACCUUCCUUGAAGGCCUGACGCCCACCCCACGCUCUUUGCGAGGUUGUCCAGGCUGUGUUCGUCGCAUGCUUUUCUUCUGUAUAGUUCUCAUCUUCCAAUUUUAUGGGAUUCAACAAAAGCCUAUUAUGCUUGUUUGCAUUAUGGUUACAAUAUUAAAAAGUGGAUUC
Molecule: long non-coding RNA, 3171 nt
Organism: Macaca mulatta (Rhesus monkey)
Lineage: Eukaryota; Metazoa; Chordata; Mammalia; Primates; Cercopithecidae
Source: Ensembl